CACGAAGUAGCAGUACUUAGGUGGCAGACGGGUGAGUAACAUGUAGGUAUCUGCCCUUUGGCCGUGCUGAAUAACACGAGGAAACGUUGUGCUAAUACCGGAUAAGUCUUUACGGAGAAAGCUUUAUGCACCAUUGGAUGAGCCUGCACUUGAUUGAGUUUGUUGGUGGGGUAAUGGCCUACCAAGACUGUGAUCAAUAGCUGAUUUGAGAGGAUGAUCGAGCCACGAUUGGGACUGAGACACGGCCCAAACUCCUACGGGAGGCAGCAGUGGGGAAUCUUGCACAAUGGAGGAAACUCUGAUGCAGCGAUGCCGCGUGAGUGAAGAAGGCCCUUGGGUUGUAAAGCUCUUUCGUCGGGGAAGAAAAUGACUGUACCCGAAUAAGAAGGUCCGGCUAACUUCGUGCCAGCAGCCGCGGUAAUACGCACACGGACCUAACGUCAGUUCGGAAUUACUGGGCUUAACAGAGUUCGCU
This 475-nucleotide ribosomal RNA is filed under the name uncultured Alphaproteobacteria bacterium. RNAcentral describes it as "bacterial SSU rRNA". It matches the Rfam family "Bacterial small subunit ribosomal RNA", at positions 65 to 573 of the family's 1533-position model. The record is from RNAcentral. Lineage: Bacteria; Pseudomonadati; Pseudomonadota; Alphaproteobacteria.